Molecule: ribosomal RNA, 533 nt
Filed under: Costora delora
Lineage: Eukaryota; Metazoa; Arthropoda; Insecta; Trichoptera; Conoesucidae
Description: SSU rRNA
Rfam family: Eukaryotic small subunit ribosomal RNA
Source: RNAcentral
AAGUUGUUGCGGUUAAAAAGCUCGUAGUUGAAAUUGUGUCCUGCGGUGUCGGUCUACCGAUUGCGGUACGACAGGCACGUCUGCGGGGCUUCUCGCCGGUGCGUCCACCGCCGGCGUGCGUCGGUCGGCCUCACGGUCGGCCGCGCACCGAGGCGGGCCGUCGCGGCUGUUUACUUUGAACAAAUUAGAGUGCUCAAAGCGGGCUAACACUUGCCUGAAUAUUGUACGCAUGGAAUAAUAGAAUAGGACCUCGGUUCUGUUUUGUUGGCUUUCUGAUACCAGAGGUAAUGAUUAAUAGGGACAACUGGGGGCAUUCGUAUUGCGACGUUAGAGGUGAAAUUCUUGGAUCGUCGCAAGACGGACUAAAGCGAAAGCAUUUGCCAAAGGUGUUUUCAUUAAUCAAGAACGAAAGUUAGAGGUUCGAAGGCGAUUAGAUACCGCUGUAGUUCUAACCAUAAAUGAUGCCAGCCAGCGAUCCGCCGAAGUUUCAUAAAUUUAACCCGGUGGGCAGCUCCCGGGAAACCAAAGCUUUC